This 434-nucleotide ribosomal RNA is filed under the name uncultured Lachnospiraceae bacterium. RNAcentral describes it as "partial 16S ribosomal RNA". It matches the Rfam family "Bacterial small subunit ribosomal RNA", at positions 341 to 792 of the family's 1533-position model. The record is from RNAcentral. Lineage: Bacteria; Bacillati; Bacillota; Clostridia; Lachnospirales; Lachnospiraceae.
ACGGGAGGCAGCAGUGGGGAAUAUUGCACAAUGGGGGAAACCCUGAUGCAGCGACGCCGCGUGAGUGAAGAAGUAUUUCGGUAUGUAAGGCUCUAUCAGCAGGAAAGAAAAUGACGGUACCUGACUAAGAAGCCCCGGCUAACUACGUGCCAGCAGCCGCGGUAAUACGUAGGGGGCAAGCGUUAUCCGGAUUUACUGGGUGUAAAGGGAGCGUAGACGGUAAGGCAAGUCUGAAGUGAAAUGCCAGGGCUCAACCCUGGAACUGCUUUGGAAACUGUCCUACUAGAGUGCAGGAGAGGUAAGUGGAAUUCCUAGUGUAGCGGUGAAAUGCGUAGAUAUUAGGAGGAACACCAGUGGCGAAGGCGGCUUACUGGACUGUAACUGACGUUGAGGCUCGAAAGCGUGGGGAGCAAACAGGAUUAGAUACCCUGGUA